This 174-nucleotide microRNA precursor is filed under the name Paramuricea clavata. Lineage: Eukaryota; Metazoa; Cnidaria; Anthozoa; Malacalcyonacea; Plexauridae. The record is from RNAcentral.
CAUUAUACAAAUAAUGAAUGUUUAUGUGUGCAAUGGUAAGAAUAUUUUCAUGAGGUGAAAGAUGGAAUGUUCCAUUCAACGAGGCGACAGCCGAGUUGAAUGGAACAUUCCAUCUUUCUCCGAAUGAAAAUAUUCUUACCAUUGCACGAAUAAACAUUCAUUAUUUGUUUUAUA